GCCUCGCUAAACGAUGCACACCUGUAACUCACGUGACCCUGAUUAUUAUUGAAACGAGAACGAGGGCGUCGUGCCUUUAUAAGACUGCGUUAAUGGCGUUAAUGUUUCCGUGGAGUUAUCCCUUCCGUUGUUGUUUAUUGAUUGUUAAACAUGGCUUCAUUUGCAAAGGUGGUUGUGUGUGUCCUCAUUGCCUUUGUCUGUAAUGCAUUCUGUUUUACGAAGAGAGAUGUGAACUUUAAGGCCUCUGCAGUUGACCGCCAAAGUGAUGAUGUGGUUGUCACCACAACACCCAAUCCCCACAACCAGACCACAUCUGCCCAUACUGAAGCUGGUGGUGGUGCAAGUGAAGAUGCUGUGGCUACUACCCCAGCACCUAAUCCACACAACCAGACAACUUCUGCACAAACUGAAGUUACUGAUGGAGCCAGUGAAGAUGCUGAGGACCGCCAAAGUGAUGAUAUGGUUGUCACCACAACACCCAAUCCCCACAACCAGACCACAUCUGCCCAUACUGAAGCUGGUGAUGGAGCCAGUGAAGAUGCUGAGGACCGCCAAAGUGAUGAUGUGGUUGUCACCACAACACCCAAUCCCCACAACCAGACCACAUCUGCCCCUACUGAAGCUGGUGGUGCAAGUGAAGAUGCUACCACCCUAGCACCAAAUCCCCAUAAACAAACUACAUCAGGCCACACUGCAGCUACUGAUGAUGCAAGUGAGGGUGCUGUGGCUGUCCAAACUGGAACUACUGUAUCCCAUACGACUGAAGUCUGAUUCGACUGCUCCUCUGGUCACAAUGACCUGAGUCACUGUCUGGACUUUUUGCCUCUACAUGUUGACUGCAAUAAAGGACAGAUAAUUAUUAUUAUUA
Molecule: long non-coding RNA, 868 nt
Organism: Clupea harengus (Atlantic herring)
Lineage: Eukaryota; Metazoa; Chordata; Actinopteri; Clupeiformes; Clupeidae
Source: Ensembl